AGUAUAAAACAAAGUGGCUGUGUGAGUGAGAUACACAAAACCUUUGGUGCCAGAGAUACCUGUGUUUACAGUAUAAAAGUGCUUCCUCACAGUCAAGCAGAACUCGUCCAGCUGUACGGUUGGUGUCUUCGUCUGUCCUUCAGACACGUUUGUUCCUUGGACACUAUUUGUCUUUUUACAAAACAAUAAUAAAAUAAAGGAAAAGAAAAACAAACCAGCAAAGAGUUGCAAAAUAAAACAAGAAAACUAUCAAGGACUGGAUUAUUUUCAACUCAAGUGUUAGCUAGCUGUCUAGCUUUGUAAGAGCAACACACCGUGAGGGCAGCAUACUGGUGUUUCAUGGGUUCUUCAUGUCAAGCACAUUGAAUUGCCUUGUUGCUGAAAUGUGGUAUGCAAAUAAACUUGACUUGCCAUUUAUUUAAACCACUUUCAAAUGUAUUAUGUUUGAGGAGUAAUAUUUAUUGCAUGUCAGAAUCAUCUAAGAGUAGUCAUUCAAAUUUAUAUUAAAUUAGGAAAUUCCCUCAUCUUUCCACUCUAAUCAUUUCUGUCUUCUACAGCUGAACUAACAAACCUUUAUCUCUGAACUCUACACUAAGAAAGAACUGGCUGAGGAAAUUUAGUGGAGGAUGCUUCGAUAUCAAUAUGAAUCCAGACAACUAACUGUGGAAAUGAACAACAACCCAGGAAGAAGAGAAAAUGGCAACAUACACAUUGACAACAUACACGUUGACAACAUACACGUUGACAACAGACACGAUGGCAACAGACAUGAUGGCAAUGGAGGACAAGGCUUUUGGCCAAGAUCAGAAACAUUUCUUGGCAUUAUUGGGGUUAUUGCAGUUGUAGGUUUAACUUUGCUAAAAUUGAGGACAAUGUUUUAGUAUCUGUACUUCCAGCUGUUCUGACAUCAAAUACUUUUUCAGCUCUAUAUGAAGCAAACUUAGAGAUGUUACUGAUGUGAUAAUUGCACCGUUGUUUAUGCCACUUACAAUAUCAGUGUAGUGAAGGAAUAGCAGUGACCUCUUAUGACUUAUUCUAAUCAUGUUAUGACUUAUUCCUUCACUUUUUAUUAUUCACUUCUCUUUUAACAAUAUAAAUAGGUUUGUUCUGUUUUCAUUGGAUUAUCUUUUAGCUUUGUAUUCAUAAUCUGAGAAUAAUUGUGCAGGGUGAACAGAACUUUUCUUUUGAAGGUCCAGCAGUGGAAGAAUCAUGGAGUGCACUAUCCACCUAAUACGGAGAGAAUCGUUGGAGUACUGGAGAAUGUUGUUUUGUUGUAUUCAGAAAUCUCACCCCAGUCUAAUGAUAAGACAUUAUCAUUAGAUAAUUUAGCUGAAUUUUGUUUAUUCAGCCAAAUGUCUUUGAUGUUAGAAGGGGAGGAACUUUGCGCCACCAUAUACACUGUAAAUCUUGUAAAUAAAUGAGAAAAUCUGCAUUUUGCAAGUA
Molecule: long non-coding RNA, 1443 nt
Organism: Xiphophorus hellerii (green swordtail)
Lineage: Eukaryota; Metazoa; Chordata; Actinopteri; Cyprinodontiformes; Poeciliidae
Exons: 4
Source: RefSeq, a predicted model, not a curated record